Molecule: ribosomal RNA, 319 nt
Filed under: uncultured eukaryote
Lineage: Eukaryota
Description: partial 18S ribosomal RNA
Rfam family: Eukaryotic small subunit ribosomal RNA
Source: RNAcentral
CCCUUAGAUGUUCUGGGCAGCACGCGCGCUACAACGGUCUUCGCAAACGGAUGCAUUCUCGAAGGAGAAUGCCAAUCUUGGAAUCUAUGCCUUGGUCGGGACAGUUGCUUGCAAUUUUUCGACUCGAACCAGGAAUUCCUUGUAAUCGUGAUUCAUCACAUCACGAUGAAUACGUCCCUGCCCUUUGUACACACCGCCCGUCGCUCCUACCGAUCGAAGAGUUAGGUGAAUUGUUUUGAUCGAUAAGAUUUGACUAUGGUCAACUCUCGUUGUGAAAUUCUGUGAAUCUGACUGUUUAGAGGAAGGAAAAGUCGUAACA